CCUUGUACACACCGCCCGUCACACCACGAAAGUGAGUUGGACCAGAAGUCGCCGCGUUAACCCGUAAGGGAGGCAAGCGCCUAAGGUCGGGCUCAUGAUUGGGGUG
Molecule: ribosomal RNA, 106 nt
Filed under: uncultured bacterium
Lineage: Bacteria
Description: partial 16S ribosomal RNA
Rfam family: Bacterial small subunit ribosomal RNA
Source: RNAcentral